GGGGAGAUACCCAAGUGGCCAAAGGGGGCAGACUGUAAAUCUGCUGGCGGACGCCUUCGGGGGUUCAAAUCCUCCUCUCCCCACCA
RNAcentral lists this transfer RNA (86 nucleotides) under Methylomirabilis sp. (SeqCode). Its description in RNAcentral is "tRNA-Tyr". It matches the Rfam family "tRNA". Rfam says of the family: Transfer RNA (tRNA) molecules are approximately 80 nucleotides in length. The record is from RNAcentral. RNAcentral also lists the same sequence under 6 other names. Lineage: Bacteria; Methylomirabilota (SeqCode); Methylomirabilia (SeqCode); Methylomirabilales (SeqCode); Methylomirabilaceae (SeqCode).